GAUACUCCGAGGACACGAAGUUCGUCGGAAGGUUCCUCGGAAAAUACCGAGGGAAUUCCGAUGGUCCAAUCCUCGGAAGUUUCGACGAAAUAUUCCUCGGAAUGGAGUGGAGUUUCUCGGAAAAUUCCGAGGAACUUUUUCCCUCAGAAAAUUCCGAGGAACUUAAAGUUCGUCGGAAUUUGCCGAGGGGAGAAAGUUCCUCGAAAUUUUCCGAGGAACCCCAUUCCCUCGGAAUUUUGAAAAAAUUUAUUUUUUUAAAAAAUUUAUUUUUUUUUAAAUUAAUUUUAUUUUUAAAAAUUAAAAUUUUUAAAAUUUAAAAUUAAAUUGAAUAAAACAUAAAAUAAAACAUAGUAGAUAAUAUUCAAAUUUAAAUAAAACAUUCAGAGUUUUUGGAAAAAAAAAAAAA
Brassica rapa (field mustard) is the source of this 406-nucleotide long non-coding RNA. RefSeq lists it as uncharacterized. Lineage: Eukaryota; Viridiplantae; Streptophyta; Magnoliopsida; Brassicales; Brassicaceae. The record is from RefSeq and is a predicted model, not a curated record.